This 428-nucleotide ribosomal RNA is filed under the name uncultured bacterium. RNAcentral describes it as "partial 16S ribosomal RNA". It matches the Rfam family "Bacterial small subunit ribosomal RNA", at positions 354 to 796 of the family's 1533-position model. The record is from RNAcentral.
GUGGGGAAUAUUGGGCAAUGGGCGCAAGCCCGACCCAGCAACGCCGCGUGAGGGAAGAAGGCUUUCGGGUUGUAAACCUCUGUCCUUGGUGACGAAAAAAAUGACGGUAGCCAAGGAGGAAGCCCCGGCUAACUACGUGCCAGCAGCCGCGGUAAUACGUAGGGGGCGAGCGUUGUCCGGAAUUACUGGGCGUAAAGGGUGCGUAGGUGGCCUUUUAAGUUGGAUGUGAAAUACCCGGGCUUAACUUGGGGGGUGCAUCCAAAACUGGGAGGCUAGAGUGCAGGAGAGGAAAGCGGAAUUCCUAGUGUAGCGGUGAAAUGCGUAGAUAUUAGGAGGAACACCAGUGGCGAAGGCGGCUUUCUGGACUGUAACUGACACUGAGGCACGAAAGCGUGGGGAGCAAACAGGAUUAGAUACCCUUGUAGUCC